GUAAAUAAGAAGCAGACAAUAGAAAGGUCUGAACUCUUGGCAGAGUGAUAAGGCUUCAGCUGGGCUGGUGUAUGCCUGACAUGAACAACUUAGAAGAGAAAAAGUUAUUGAGGCUCGCAGUUUCAGAGGUUCAGUCCAUGAUCAGCAGACUCCUUUGCUCUGGGCCCAAAGUGAAGUAGAACAUCAUGGGAGGAGGACUCCACAGAGGAAAUCUGAUCUCAUGACAGCCAGGAAGCAGAGAGAGAGACCUCAAGGUUACAGGAAUGAAAUAUGAACCCCAAAGUCAUGCCCUGAGCCACACCUCCUCUUCACCUCUUCCUACUUCCUCCUGCCACACCCUUCCUGCCUAGGGUCACCACCCAGGUCAUCACCUCUAGUCUUUUCAAAUUGUUAAUCCAUUAAAUGUAUUAAUCCACUGAUGAGGUUAAACAGGUCUCAUGAUCUGAUCAUUUCACACCUGAACAUUACUGCAUUGUCUCACACAUGAGUCUUGUCAGGGACACCACAUAUCUAAACCGUGAAGCUACCCAAGAAGUGCCUGACACAGUUAGAGUACAGCCUCUACAGAGGCCUGUCCCAGGGGGUGUCUGUGCAAGAGACUUACAUGGGGCUUAAAAGGCUCUGGUUUCCAACCCUGAUCAGGCACAGCAUGGUUUGAAAGAAAGAGCACCAGAACAGGACAUAGGGUUCCCAGGACUCCAACCUGGAUUCACCAAAACUCUCUGGAGUCACUUGGUGCCACUUUCCCCCUGUUUUCUCCUCCCCCAAAUGAAGUGUUUUGCUGACCAUAAAUGUAAUUUGAGAUCAAUGUAAGAUUAAAGGCUUUAAUGUCAACCAAAAAGUAUUCAAAUAAAUCUUAGCUCUGCAUCUUUCAAAUGAUUUUGAAUGAUUUGGGGUAAAUUACUUGACCUAGAUGAGCUUCAUUUUCCUCCUGUGUUAUCUUCCUAAGUUGCCAUGAGAAAUAAAUGAGGGGGCUUGAAAAAUGUUCAUCACAGUGGCC
RNAcentral lists this long non-coding RNA (1000 nucleotides) under Marmota monax (woodchuck). Lineage: Eukaryota; Metazoa; Chordata; Mammalia; Rodentia; Sciuridae. The record is from RNAcentral.